This 41255-nucleotide long non-coding RNA is filed under the name Manihot esculenta (cassava). RNAcentral describes it as "long non-coding RNA (MESC_LNC003604)". The record is from RNAcentral. Lineage: Eukaryota; Viridiplantae; Streptophyta; Magnoliopsida; Malpighiales; Euphorbiaceae.
ACCUAGAGAUCUUAACUUAAUACAUCAAAUACAUUGCUAAAUAAUAAAGCAGAUAACCAUGUUCGCCUAACACCAAGAAGCAGCAUAAACAAAAUGGAAAUUUCUAAUUUCCUUGCUCAAACAAAUUAGGGACUAAGAACAACAUCCCGUAGAUAUCAAAAAGAUUUGAACACAUGGAGACAAAUGCCCCCUCAUAACAAUUAUAAGAAAAAGUUGUGACACUCUCUGCAUUUCAUACUUACAUGCAAUGAAUCUGGAAAGUGAGAAUCUUUUAUACAAAGAUCAGCAUUUGCUAAACCAGUAUAAAUCCUUUACUCCGAAUCAAACAUGAAUCACACACAAAAAAAAUCUCCACAGGAUGAAAAUGGUACUUGGCCAUUUUAAACCCAACAAAAUUCAAUCAAUUAAGCAACAUGUUCUCCAUUCCGAAACUCAAUAUUUUUGUGCCAAGGUAUAACAAACAGUUUGGCUUAAAAUUGAAUCUCAAGAUCCAAGUCAUUUCUCGAGUACUCAUCCAGUCGGUCAAACUUCUUUUUAAAAAUCUCACCAGAUAGAUCUCUAACCAUGUCUAUCUUUAUGUUGAAUAAGAUUGGCCAAAUGAUACAAAUUCACAAAAUCCAAGCAAGUUGUCAAAGCUCGAAUCUAAUUGCCAAAAUUAAAUAUUCACAACCAAUAUUAUAAAUCAGAACUCAAAUUGCAGAAUUUCAUGCACCCAGAGUGUAGCCUUUCAAAUUCAAGCCACAUAAUCCAAAUUAACAAGUAUCAAAAUCUUUACCAGACAAUCAUCUCCUUUCGCUUGCUAGUCAUGCUACAUGUGUUUCACCAACAAAUAUACUAUUCAUAGGGCUUUUCAAUAACACCUUCAAGUUCCAAUAAGCAGUUCCAUUAAAAUUUAGUUUCUUUUGUCUUUUUUUUUUGUUAAUAUUUCAGUUUCACAAACCAAAAAAAUUAGUAUGUGCUCCUUCAGAUUUUUCUAUACCCACUUCCUCUCAAGAACUGAAUGAUCUUAACUGCACUCUUUUUUCGCAGUUUGUCCUUUUGCUGACUGCCUCCAAUCUCCCAUUUUAAUCCACAUUCUACCUUUACUUUCAGAGACCAAUAACGAUUUAACAUAGGUUAUAUUCUCAGAUUUAAACACCUAGAUCACCAAUUAGGUGUCUAUAUUACUGGUUAGGUAUCACUCAGCUUUAUUAAUUCUUUAUUUCAAUGUCAAGAUUUAUUGUUCUCAUGUAUGCACAUUGUGGGAAAAUUUUUUACCAUUGUUCAAUCACGUCAAAAGCAAACAUGGCCUGCUAGAUUAAAAUAUUCCCAAAUCAUGAUUUGUUUAAAAAAGGAAAAAGGUUUUCUACCAUAGUGUCCCAGUAAAAAAAUGUCACUAACUCCACAAAUUUGCCAUUAUGUAAAAUCUAAACUAUUGCAGUAAACUGAUGCAACAAACCAGAUUCAACUUGAACAUAAGCCUCAAGUAUCAAAGAUAGCCCUAAUCCAAGAAUGACAACAUACUUGGAUGAGCCUCUACUCUCAGUACUCAGAGAAAAGCACAUCUGAUUAUGGGUAAAAUCUACUAAACAUACCUUAUUGCACCAGAGUGUAAGCCCUCUUAUAUAAAGAGAGGAUCACAACCAAAAAUCCAACAAGAAACUUUAUUAAAAUUUCAGGUAUUAUACAUCAAAAGAAGUUUAUGCAUCAAGUCCAUCCGAUCAGUAGAAUUUUGAACCCCAGUAAACAAGCAAACUUUAAAGAUUAAACUAAAUCUAAACCUUUUGAUUAUACUUAAUUGAAUUAAACUACCUUUACACAGCUGCCCAUGCUGGAAUGGUUGAGCACAAAACAAAUGACAAUUGACAAGGUACAAGUUGAUCAAACAAAAUUUUACAAGAUUUUUGUUAAUGAAGGUGUAUAUCACAUGCAUUUCACAAUAUAUGAGUAGCAGCAAGGCAGUAACUACUAAAACAGAAAAGGGAAGCUUCAUGAUAAGUUGGUAACUUGAUUAACAGUACUGGAAAUUGAGUUAAAAAUGACACCAUAUUGCAAAAGGUAAUUUCACUAAUAUCAAAUAAAGCAUAAAUGAGACAAAAUCGUCAGAGUGCACUUCAGAAUACAAAUGAUCCGGCAUACAUAUAAAGGGAUAAAAAAAUCAAGAGUUUAUAUUUGACAUGGAAGAAUAUCUUAACGAGGUUUUGUAAACUUCAAAAUAUCCUAGAAUGAUCUUCUCAAAAAGUCCCUAUAACAUACACCUAAACAGUGAUGCUACUUUCACAUGCUCCAAAACUUGAAAACAUUAUAAACAAAUUCUUAAGCAAAUAGGUAAAUCAAAGGUUUAAGAAAAGGUUUAAAGAAAGACUAACCACCAGAAGACGAACCAGAUUCACUACUAGAACUACUUGAACUACUGCAUUUACUGCUCUUUUGGGCUGCAUCUUUUUCUAUCUCUACUGCAGGGUAACUUGAAAUAGCAGGAUCAUUUCCACCCACAAUAUCUACAUCUUCAUCAACUGGUUCAUUGCCUAAAAAUAUAGUGAAUAGAUUUGAAAUUGCCAACAAAGUAUGUGUACCUGCUAUCUAAUAUUUCAAUGUGCACAAGCAUGAAGUAGAAAGAUUACCUUUGCAAGGUUGCAAUGAUGAAUUGCUAAAUCCAGACUCAUUAAGCAGCUGGUCAACAAACCAUGCCAAAAUUGAGAUAAAUCAGGUACUAUCCCCACAAAGAUGCACAUAAAAAAAAAGGGUGAAAUAAAUAAAUGCAAAGAAACAAGAAUGAGAGACAGUUACCUCCAUUUCGCAUGCUUCUGCUUUGGCCUGGUUUUUCCGUUUCUCCAGUAAAUAAUCAUCCAGGAGCUUCCGCAAUUUAAACAGUGUAUCAUCACUAAGAGCAUCAAUGUCAAUCUCAAUUUCAUCUUCACCUGUCUGGUCAGCACUAUGACUAUUCUCUUUUAGAAAGUCAAUAAUGCUAUCAGGCAAUUCACCUAGCAAUGCUUCCAAUUCAGUGCUCAACUUGUGCUUCUCCUCGUCAGUCAUUAUCCGCCUAGUAGGUUCAGACUUGACCUUAUUGUCAUUUGGUGCAAUUUUCUUCUUUUUGGCAGGACGUGUACCAAUAUUUAUUUCUGUUUCCAUAGCAACAUGAGUUCUCUGAGGCAUCGACUCCACAUUAAUGGUCACCAGAAGCUUCUUCUCUAUAGCUUUCCAUCUCACUUCAAAAUAUUUACUUAGUGCCUCUGCCAUAAAAUGGACAUCAUUGCCUGGGGGGUUGUACUUCAUUGCAUUUGAGAAAGUUAAUCGCACAUCUGCAGCAAAAUCCAGUGGACUUGAAUAUGCACCUGAAGCAAUCUUGCUCUUCACUGUGCCCAAAUCCAUUGGAUUUUUAAUGACAGUGAAAUAAUCUGGAAUAUUCAACUUCACCACAUCAACUGGUGUAUUGAAAACCCAACCAAACUGAUGUGCCAUUAGACGGUUAAGCAAGGUUUCACACUGUUUCAUCAACAUAGUAUUAGAAGUAAUCACUGGUGCACCUGGCUUUGCUGGUUCAGGACGCCUAUGCGUAGUCUUUUUUGUUUGGGCUCCAUUACGUCCAGGUGGAGCUCGUUUCCUGCUCUGUGAAGCUGAUACUUCCAAAGAAUUAUUCACGCCCUCUAGCGGAGGCCUCCUGUGACCAUCACUGCAACUUCUAAUAUCACUAGAAGGCGACAAUACAACUGCAUUUGAACUCAAAAAAUCCACUUUCCUUUGGAGGACCCUGACCCGAUCAAGUUCCCCUUUCAACCUAAACUCUAAAUCCUUCCUCUCUGACCUUGACAUCUUUGACAAUGAAAAGACUUGCAUUGGGACACCAAAACUAUCAUAACCAUCUAGGUUCAGACUCAUACAUUUUCUCUUGGGAGCAAAGGAAUCUUCUGAUGCUGUCAACUCAGUUUCAACUCGCCCAGAACUUCCAAACCCCUCUGAUUCACCCACAGUCUCAACAGCAUGCCGGUAAUCUGGAAUAAAACCAGAGGAAUGCCCUUUAGAGUAUUUCCUUGAUUUCCCCAUUGGUUGUGAAAGCCAACACUUCCUUGAUUCCUUCUGUCCAAUAAACUCUAUAGGAACAGUUGGUGCCAUAAGAUUAAGUCCCAAUAACUGCACAUGUCAACUUCGCGAUUAAUUUUUAUUCCACAGCUUCACUUUCAAAAUAUCUGGAUAUCCAAAAGGUGCAAUAUCAUGAAAAUGCUCAGCUUGUGGUUCACAACAUAAUUAGCUUUGAUUUCUCUAAAGGAUCCAUUUUUCAAAAUUUUUAGAAUUUUCAGGAAUGAGGUAAAUAGAACAAUAAUUUCAACUCAACAGCAGCACCGGUUCCUUUUCUUUCCACAUAAUGAUCCUUUUUUUUUUCCUGCAAUGUAUUUGGAGUUUAACCAAAAAGCCUCAAUGCACUAUGUAACCCUCCUAAAAAUAAUAUGGAGGGACAAAAAAAUUGAAAACUACAAUUUAAUGGUGUCGAUAAUACAAACUCAGCAUCUCCAAUGGCGAAAUAACUCUAAAUGUUGCUCUAACAAAAGCCUGAGAAUCCCGAGUUCACUGAAUGAAGCAUAGUAACCCUCCCAAAAGCCUAAAAUACAAUCGACUAAACCUAUAAUAAGACCAGAUAUUCCCACCAAAAAUAAUAAUCUUUCCCUAUCGCCCGGAAACUUUCAACGGAAUAAAAAAAAUCCUCAAAAUGAUUCAAGAAAUUAUAGCACCGAAAAGAACAAAAAUAAAUACUUACUAGGAAACAACCUAAGCUCCUUCGAGCAAAAACCCCCAAGUGAAAACCCUAGAUCGAAUCGAAACUAAAUUAGUGCAUCGACGCUGAAAUACAAUGUGCAACAAAACCCUACUAAGGAGGUUUAUCCUUCACCAGAUCCAACUAAAAACCUGGAUCUCGCGCCAGAGUUCUUGAUUCGAACAAACCCUAGAGAAACAGAGAUUCGACAGAAGCCCCUCUUCGCUAUUAUUCUUCACCAAAAUAGCGAAACAAUAAGAAAAACAGAAGUGAAAGAGAGGAGAAGAGAGAUAGCUCGAAGCCUGAUAUGGUUGGGCUACUUCGCACCUCUACUUAAAGGCCCAAUUCGCCUCAUUGCGCCAAUCCCAGCCGUUCAUCACGACUCCAUCACAUGCAACGUAUAAAAUUACAUUAUUUUUUGUCCACCGUCAAAUUCGGGAUCUGACGGCUAUGGUUAUUAUCUGCCUUUCUAAGAUCUACGUAGACCGUGUAGGAUUUAAUUAAUUAAUUUUUACUACUAAGUUCUAGAAGCGGGAGUUUAUAAAUAAAUAAAUAUAUUAAUUAAAAUGCCAACAGAAGCAAAGAGAACGCGCGCGAGUAUGUAAAAUUUGUAUUCGCGGUGCUAUGGAGCUACGUGUGGAGUUUGAGGGGAUUGCUGUAGGUGAUUGUUUGCGUGAUCGAGUAUAAAGAUUUGAAAGUUAUGGAUAAGGAAAGUCGACAAAAUUACACAGAGUUGCCGAGCACGUGUCUCAUUUGACUUUUCACUGCCACGUAAUGCGGCCGAUGAGAUGGCAUUAUGCUCCCACGUGCUUCUUUUUGAUGAUUGCAAAUGCCAUUCCCCAUCCGCAUUGGCAAUAUUUUGUCUCAAAUUGUAACCGUUACUGCUUUACCGUGAAUUUGGAUAGAAUUGUGGAGAGGGUGGAAAAUAAACGAGGAAACUGUCUUUUAUUUUUUUAUUUUUCUUGAAUAAUAAAAAAAUAAAAUUUCUUUUUUGAAAAAUGGAGAGAAUAUAAAGAAAUUAAAAUAUUAAUAUGCCUCUUGUUAUAUAAAUUAAAUUUUGUUAUAUGACCAGUAAUCUACAUAUAGUAAUAGACUAUUAAAUAAUAAUAAAUUUUACUUAACUAAGACAAUAUGAUAUUUUUUACAUUCAUAUAUUUUUGAAAUAUAUAGUAUUAAUUUUACAUAUUAUUUUAUUUUUAUUUUAAUAAUGAUAUUAUUUUUUAUUCUUGUUUUGAAAAUGGUCUUUUACUAUUUUAAAUUAACAGAGUAGUAUUAAAAUUUUAAGCUGAAAUGAAAUUAAUAAAAAUAAAAAUUAAUUAAAACUGAUGAUCUGAGAUCUAGAAAAUAGAGUUUUACAAUGGUUGAGUAAGUUUGGUAUGAGAGGAGGGUGCUCCUUUCCUUUUAUUCUUUUUCUUGGUCUGUCAGUGACGUGUAAUGGCUUCACUGCCAUUGGGCCACCUGUCUCUGCCAUACGGAUACGGUCGUACGAAUAUAUCAGACAUCUGCUCCAUGUGUAACGACCAUUUAAUUGUCCCUUCUAGCACGCGGGUUAACCGAGCAAUUCGGGACUGGGCCAGUGAUCCUCACUUUGCUAAGCUUCCAGGCCGGGCUCGGGGAGAGAAGGCUGGGUCCCGAGAAAAGCCCGACCUCAAGGACGAAUGGGCUGGGUCUUCUCAUUUGCGGGAUUCCGUGGGUCCUGGGCCGGCCCUGUCACUGUGGGCUCGGCCUCUUACGAGGACUGCUUCCCUUAAAACGUCUCUUCUUCUCUCUCCUUUUCUUUACUAUUUCAAAAUUUAAAUUUUCUUAGCCCUUUAGAAUCUUUCCUCUCCUCUGUUCUCUGUGCGUUCUGCCUGUUCUGUCUUCCUGCCCCCAUUGUUUUCAAGGUACGCUUCUUAUUUCCCCAUGGAUAGCCCUAAGCUUCCUGACGUCUUUGAUCUUGAGUCCAGUAUUACUCAUUCUACUCUAAAAAACUUCAUUUCGCGGGAGUACUUGGAUACCCCUCUCUUCCACAUCCGAGCUCCCUAUCGUAAUGAGAGGAUCGUUCUUCCCGAUCCUCCUCCUUCUGGUUUAAUCGACCCUCAAAAGGACCUUAGUCUAGUCUUUUUCAUCAAACAAUGAGAAUAUGGUCUUACCUUUCCUUUUUCUCCUUUUUUUACUGAGGUCUUCCGGUAUUUCGGGAUAACCCCCCAAAUGCUGACUCCCAACUCCAUCCUGUUCAUGUGUUCCUUUGAGUCAGUUUGCCUGAGCUGGGGGUUUACACCCACAGCGCGUCUGUUUGUUACCUUUUUUCGAUUAGUGAAAGCGAGUCAAGGCUUUUACUAUUUUGACCCUCGGGGAGGGCUGUCCAUCUUUACUGUCACAAGGACUCGAUAAAAGGCUGGGUAGAAGGGUUCGCUAUGGUUGAGCUGAAGAAGGACUCCGGGUUGUCUUGGGAGGUGGAGCUCUCAUGGGAGGAUGUCCUUCUAGGCUGCAAUGACCUGCCCCAGCUAAGUCUUACCGAGCAGGUCGGGUUCCUUCGACUGACUUCUGUUGACAAGAAGUAUGAUGUCGAAAGGUGUAUGUUUGUGUCCACCCUUCAGGAUUGCAGGGCUGCCGGUACUUUAUUUCAUUUAAUUGUUUUGCCUCUUCUUUGUGAUUUUCACUGAGGGUUGUUCUAAUUUGUUUUGGUUUUGGCUCUUUGCAGCUUCUAACGUUAAGAUGGACCAAAUCAAGCCCCCAAAGAACUUUACCCUAUCUCGGGAGAGUAUGAAUGCUGCCUUAGAUGUCCUCCGAGCUGGGCGGUCCGUGUCGGAAGCCACUCAGGAGGUGGCCCAGGUCAUCUCUUCCAGAUCGGCAGGUCGGUCUGCUCAUCCUGUUUCAGCUUCUUCCCGAGCUCCCAAGCCGAGCUCCCAAGGUGUCAGGACCUCUAGGCCCUCCAGCCGUAGCAGGUCGAGCUCGAUUCCUCAGUCUUCCUAGGCCCCGAAGUCCCAACAGGUCUCUGCUGCGAGGACGGAGAGGGCUCCCAGGGUUACUGACAGGUCGGUUGAAGAUCCUAGGCAUGUGAGGACGGAUGUUGCCUCAUCUUUGGAGGAUGUCCCUAAAGAGAGAGCCCAAGUCACUCCGGUUGAUAGGAGAGCCUCAAGCGGUGAAAUGGAGGUUUUAGGAGCUUCCGUGGAGAUUGCCCCCGCAGCUGAGGACGUUCUUAUGGAGGGGGUCGAGUCCGAGCUAAAGGAUAGCAUUCCUCCCCGAGAGGAGUCCUCAGUUGCCCCUGAGGGUGCUGUCGAGGAGGCCACGAACAAGCGUCCUCCCCCUUCUGAAGCGCCUGCCCCGGCUCCUGUCCCCAAGAGUUCUCGGGCCUCCAGAAGACCAGCUCCUGCCCUGCCUCCUCUAGAAAAGGAAAAAACUCCUGUGGUGCCUCUGCUCUCUGCUACUGACAACGAGAUUCUGAACGCAGAGGACAUCACUCACCAAUCUCCAGCAAGCGUUGUCGCGGAGAUCCUAAGGAAGCGGAUGUUUGGCGGGCUACAGAGGCUUCGGACCCUCGUCUGCCUACUCUUACUGGCCUUUUGGCUAGCUCUACUCGAGAGCAAGCAGCAUUCUGGUCUCGGACUCGAGGGGAGCUUGGAGACACAAUCAGGGAGAUGCUUUUGAUGGUAAGUUAUCCCUUCUGAUUUUUGCUUUUAUUUUGGUUCUCUUUGUUUCCUAGUCCUAACAGUUUUCUCUUUGUGCUAGGUGAUGGGCCUUUUCAUGGAGGUGGAUGCUCGUGACCACUCUCUCCGGGAGUUUGUAGAUCGCCGGAUUGAGGAGGCACGCCUAGAGGAGAACUUGUCUGCCACCAGUGAUGCCAGGGGCAAUCUUGCAAUGGCCCACGAGCAUUCGAAGUCCUUACAGGUGAAACUAUCAUAUACCCUGGACGCUCUCAAGAGAGCUGAUGAAAAGGCAGCUGCGGUAGAAAUUCGCUGUGAUGAAGCUUUGAAACAACUGUCUUCCCUGGAAGAGGUUCGGCGGGAGAGGGACGAGGCUGUGAGCCAAAAGAACAAGGUCUGGCACCAAUACAAGGCCUUAAAGGCAGAUUCUGAGGCAGCCCAGACUCAUUAUGAUGCCGUGAUAGCCCAAAGGGAGGAAGCCUUGGCUCGAAUAGUGGUCCUCGAGCAAGAGCUGAUUAAGCAUGCAAAUAGUGAGAAAGACCUGGCCCUGGCAGCAGAGGCAUCUAGACUUCAAAACCAGCAUCUCUGCCAGGAGGUCGAGGCUCUUAAGAGGAGGUGUUCAGCCCUGCUCGAGGAUGCCAAGCACGCUGAAGAUAGAGUCCAAUUAGAGUGUGAGGAGCGCCUAAGGGAGUACAAGGAGUCGGCAGAGCUGAAAAAGGAGAUUGAGCAGGCCUGUGAAGCUCUUCUCCAAAGUUACAAGGACUCUUCUGAGUUAAAGGCGAAGAUAGCUGAGGCCUACGAGGCGCGACUUGCAAAAUUCAAAGCCUCUGACGAGAUGAAAAAUGCAAUCUGGCAUAAGGGCUUCCGCAUGUUCGUCUCCAGUUUCAAUCGGGGCUUGAGGGAAGCCAGGCAUGCCCUUUCCACCCCGCUAGCGCAACUCCGAGCUCUUGAGAUAGACUCUGAUGGCGAGGAGGUGCAUUAUGGGGAGGAUGACAGACCCUUUCCCAAAGGAGUUCCUCACAUUGCAACUGAGUCUCUUGAAGAGGGUACCGAGCUUAAGGAGGGAGAUGGGCAGGAGACCGCUGGGCCUGAAGAGGAAGGUGUCGAGUCUCUGAGGGAAUAUGCUGGACCUCAAGAGGGAGGUGCUGGGAGUGAGAUAGUGCCCUAUGUGGGCCCUGGGGCCCAGAGCAAAAUACUGGCCCUCCCCAGACUAGUAGUGUAAAUGAUGAUGUAAAUAAUGAAGCUCCUAGGAAUGUAAGUCCUAUGCGGACAAUUUUUCCCCCCAUAGUAUUAGAUGAUUAGGUGAAAUUGUAACUUCCUUUCUUUUCAAUUAAUGAAAUAUAGCUUUCAUUUGUGUUUAUGCUUUGAAUUAUUUUCGCUUUUCUUUAUCUUUCUGAUUCAAUUGAGCCACUUAAUCCAUCCAAGACUUAAUCUAUUUUCUCCACUUGUAAAUAUUAUCCGAGCUGGGUUAUCCUCAAGAAACCUUCCAAUAAUAUGCUUAUUCAAUAAUCUUUUAAAGGGUUAAGUUAUACUGGAUUGGUCAGCUCUAUCACUAUCCUUUCACCCUGUGGACCCAUCCGGGCUGGAAUUUUAGUGGCUGACUAUACUUUUAUUUCGUGAAUUUCUUUAAUCUAAUUAAGACAAUCUUGUUAAUAAUUGUGAGCUCGUGUGCACAACUUAUUAUGCAAUUAAAGCAAGUCAAAUCAUGUACCUUCUUAGCAUAUCAAGCCUAACUCCCAUGUUUUGUUCUCCGUCCUGCGUUGAGUGGAACUGAGGCUGUGGUUUUACUCGCUGCUUUGUGCCUUCGAUUUAUUCUGCCUGGGUCAGAGAGGAUUUGUAACCCCUAUUCUGCCAUUUGCCUUCCCCAAGCCUUGAUUAUUCUUUCGCUUGGUUCUUUCGAGCUCAAAUCUGUGUAUCUCAGCUCGGGAUUGUGGUGCCAGGGGCAUUUAGGGAGCCCGGUCACCUACCUCGUUGAGGUCUUGCGCAAGAUUCAGGCUCUUUGGCCUUACUGUCGCUUCAUCAUCUCAGCCGGUUUUGUGGUGCCAGGGGCGCUUGGGGAGCCCGGUCGCAUACCUCGCUGAGGUCUUGCGCAAGAUUCAGGCACUGUGGCCUUACUGUCGCUUCGUCAUCUCAGCCGGUGUUGUGGUGCCGGGGGCACUUGGGGAGCCAGGUCACCUACCUUACUGAGGUCUUGAACGAGAUUCAGGCACUGUGGCCUUACUGUCGCUUCAUCAUCUCAGUCGGUUUUGUGGUGCCGGAGGCGCUUGGGGAGCCCGGUCACCUACCUCACUGAGGUCUUGAAUGAGAUUCAGGCACUGUGGCCUUACUGUCGCUUCAUCAUCUCAGCCGGUUUUGUGGUACCGGGGGUGCUUGGGGAGCCCGGUCACCUACCUCACUGAGGUCUUGAACGAGAUUCAGGCACUGUGGCCUUACUGUCGCUUCAUCAUCUCAGCUGGUUUUGUGGUGCCGGGGGGGGCUUGGGGAGCCCGGUCACCUACCUCGCUGAGGUCUUGAGCCUUUAUGCCUAUUUUCUUUUUCUUUUUCGUUUCUUUCAAUGGAAGCAAUGUAAGUUAUGGCAAAUAACAAAUUUGAUGAUAACGUUUACUUUUAUUUCCAUGCUUCAAAAUACAAUUAAUUCUCUUACAUUUGGUAACAUCUUAAGGGAAGUACCUUUUCAAAUAUUGGAUAUUCCAAGCAUGAGGCUCAGGGUUUCCCUGCAUGUCCUCGAUUCGAUACACUCCUGGUUUGACCACUUUUAUUAUUCUGAAAGGACCCUCUCAGGUCGGCGCCAGCUUUUCUACUGCCGCUCUCUUUCCAGUAGCUUCCAGAUUUCUCAGGGCCAGAUCUUCUACCUUCAGGCUUCUUUCUCUGACCCUUUGAUUGUAGUAACGAGCCGCUCUUUGUUGAUAAGCAGUUGUACGGACUUGAGCUUCCUCUCUGACUUCUUCUAAGGCAUCCAGGUUACUUCUCAGUUUAUCACUAUUGGCGUUCUCGUCAUUGGACUGGACUCGAUGUAUAGGGACUUGUAGCUCGAUUGGAACUACGGCCUCAGUGCCAAAUGCAAGCGCGAAAGGUGUCUCUUUGGUUGACGCCCUGGGCGCAGUUCUGAAUGCCCAUAAAAUACUGUUGAGCUCAUCUGCCCAAUUUCCCUUUGCUCCGUCCAAUCGCUUUUUCAGCCCUUGGAGAAUAGCUCUGUUGGUGAUCUCUGUUUGGCCGUUGGUUUGGGGAUGGGCCACCGAGGAGAAUUUAUGCCAUAUGCCCAUAUUUCUUGUAAAUUCUCUGAAGGCGCUGCAGUCAAAUUGCCUGCCAUUGUCUGAGAUGAGUACCCUCGGUAUUCCAAACCUACAGAUGAUGCUAUCCCAGACAAAGUCUAUCAUUUUUCUUGCUGUGAUAGUAGGGACUGUCUCUGCUUCUGGCCACUUCGAAAAGUAUUCCACAGCCACUAUCACAAACUUCUUCUGCCCAGUGGUCUUGGGAAAAGGUCCCAGGAUAUCUAUGCCCCACUGAGAGAAUGACCAUGGGCUGGAUAUGCUGGAUUGAGGUGUGGCUGGCACGUUAAUGGAGUUGGCAAAUCUCUGGCAUACAUCGCAUCUUCGGACAAACUCUUCAGCCUCCUUUUUAACAGUGGGCCAGUAAUACCCUUGCCUGAAUAUUUUAUUUGCCAACGUCACUGCCCCCUCAUGGGCUCCGCAUAUCCCUCGGUGUAUUUCUUCCAUCACCCUUAUAGCCUCUUCCAGAUUCACGCAUCGAAGCCAUGAGGUAGAUUUCCCUCUUCUGUAUAGGGUUUGUAAUACCCGGCUAGACCCCGGCAUCGAAAUUUCCACUUUCCAGCGGAUUCUCCGUUGGAGUCCAGGAUUCAGGAAUGUUGGAGUCUUCCCCAAGGGUAGAACAUAGGUGUUUUUAAAAUAUUUUUGCAUGUUUUAUUGUAUUGAGUAAAGAAAAUUGAGUUUUGAAAAGGAAAAGUUUAAGGAGGCAAAUGCCAGGUUCGGCCGCCGAAGGUGAAGUUCGGCCGCCGAACGUUGCAUGGUUUCGCAUGCAGUUUUGGCCGCCGAAGGAGAGGCGGUUGGCCACCUAUAAAAGCCAUUUGACCGAAAAUGGAGGGUGUUGAAGCUCUCUGUUUUUGGUCAAAGGUAGGUUUUUGCUCUCCUUAGUAUGUUUUCAUAAGAUUUCUUCAAAUCUUGCAUGUUUUGAUGUGUUUUAACUUGGUUAUAGAGUGUUGAGCAAAGAAAGCAAGUUUGAGGAACUUGGAGACUUUGGAUCGUUUUCCACCACAUCUCCACGUUAGGACCAUCGAUCCUCUCGUUCUUCAAGAGGUAAGCAUGGAUCCUCACCUCCCCUUAUGUUUUAAGCAGGUUUUAAAAAGUUUGAGAGAGUUUUAUGGGAUGGUUUUUAGUAGAGCCAUAAGUUGAGCAUAUGUUGAUCAUAUGUGUUUUGUUGAUGUUUGAAGUUGUUUGUGGGGUUUGAACUAGUUGUGAGGCCCCUUUAUGUUUGGUAUAUGGUUUAUGUAAGUUGUUGAGAGUUGGCAUGCAUGUUUUGGGUGUGUUGUUGGUUUUUGGAGGCUGGAAGCAUGAGUUUGGAACAGGUUCUGCCUGUCUGAGAAACUCAGGUUCGGCCGCCGAAGCAAGGUUCGGCCGCUGAACCCCUUAGGAAGGCUGUUUUGGCCGCCUAACCUUGCCCCCAAAAGUUGGGACUUUCGUCUCUGGAGGGGAGGUUCGGCCGCCGAACAUACCGCCGAAGGUGGGUGACUUUCGGCUCUGGAAAGUAUUUCAGCCCCCGAACCUUGCCCCUGAAAGUUUAGACUUUCGGAUCUGGAAGGGACUUUCGGCCGUCGAAAGUGCCCGAGUUUCGUCUCUGAAGAGGGGAUUCGGCCGCCGAACUUGCCGCCGAAAGACCCCUGCCCAGCUUUUCUUUGCCCAUUUUUCCAUGCAUGCUUCUGAUGUUUUAGAGGGGUUUUGGGGAGAUGUUCAGAGUUACGUUAGUGUAUGUUUGGUCCUCAUUUUGAGUCCACCUGUGUAGGUGCGGACCCGAGGAACCAAGGAGGCCCCCAGAGUUAGAGUUACAGAGACUGGUCAGCAGUUGAUCAGAGGUGAGUGGAACAGAACUAUGAUUUAAAAUUAAUGAAUGGUUUAGCAUAAUCCAUGCAUCAUAACUGCCAUGUUUAUGAUAGGUUGUUAUGCAUUGCAUUAGUAUUCACAAAGAUGUACAUUGCAUUAUUACGUGAAUGUGGGACAGACACAGAGUAGGACCCAUUAGCCCUCUGAGUACUAUGUAACGAAGUCCUGUGGUGCCCCUUUGAGGGCCGGACAAUGAGCUGAGGGAUUUUUGGGUCAGUCCGUCCGUGAUGUGAGUUACUUGUGUUGUGAUGCAUUUUCAUGAUGGCAUGUUUUAAAUGUUUUAUUAUUCUACUCACUGGGCUCGAGUAGCUCACCCCUCUCCCUAACCCCAUGUUUUCAGAGCCUCAGAGAAGCGAAAGAGAGAGCAAGGGUAAAGGCAUAUGCAAUAGUAUAGAGUAGUGGACAUGAUGUACAAAGAUGAUGUACAGUAUAGAGAUAAUGUAUUAGUUAUGUAAUGUAAAAGAGUUAUAGUAUUAUGCUUGGCCCCAGUGUAUGCUAAUGUCAUGUUGUACAUGAUCAGUGUAUGAUUUAUGUUUUAUGUUGAUCCAGACUUAAGAAUGAGAACUCCAGUGAGGGGGUUGUUUUGCUCACAGUUUCUGUAUGGUACCACAGUAGGUAUCACUUUCAUAGUGCAUACAGAAUAUAUACAGAUUAAGUCUGGUAUGUAUGAAAAGUUCAAAAUUUUUAUGGAAAUGAAUGAUCAGGUAUGGGAUUAUCAGGUACUCAGAGUUCAUAGUAGGCUUGCUACGGGUCCCGGCGGCCUUAAAACGAUCUGGAUCCUAGCGCCGGUAGCGGUCCGGUUUUCGAGCUGUUACAGGGUCCCUCUCACUGCUUGGUAGUUUGCUGCCCGGGCCUCAAUCUUCUUUGCCUUGGCUUUAUCCUCGGGAAGUUUUCCUCUUUCCAAAUAUUCGAGGUACGGGAUCAUCCAGUUCUGCCCCUCCUCAACUUCCAUCACGAUGUUUGCUUUAUCGAAGGUGGGAAUGUUAACAUGCUGUAUGUACACCUCAUCUGGGAGCUGCUCCAGCUCUUCCCUAGACAAUCGGCUAAGCAAGUCCGCUUCUUCAUUCUCUUCCCGAGGUAUUCGCUGGUAUUUGACCAUGAUCCCUUGACUCUUGAGCUCGGCUUCUAUGUCCUUUACCUUCGCCAGGUAAUUCAGCAUAGUAGGGUCUCUGGCCUGAUAUGCCCCUGUUAUCUGGUUGACCACUAAUUGGGAAUCGCUAUUCACCUCGAGAUCGGUUUCUCCUACCUCCAUUGCUACCAGCAUCCCGUUUAUUAGGGCCUCAUAUUUCGCUACAUUAUUGGAGGCACUGAACUCUAGGCGUAAGGCGUAACAAACUUUGAACCCUUCAGGUCCCUUCAGCAUUAUUCCUGCACCGCUGCCCCUAGCACCGGAUGCUCCAUCCAUAUACAACUUCCAGCCGAAAUCUCGUGGGGGCUGCCUCUCUCUCUCGCCUUGCACUGUUUCUGAGGGUGUUACACCCAAUUCUACUUGUUUCUCACUGAAAGAACACUCUGCUAUGAAGUCAGCGAGGGCUUGAGACUUUAUAGCAGUGCGAGGUCGGUAUUCCAAAUAAUACGGGCUGAUCUCGAUGGACCAAGCAAGCAUCCGACCUGAGGUUUCCGGUCUGUGGAGAAUCUUCUUUAGCGGCUGGUCUGUCAUCACUACUCCUUGAUGGCUUUCUAGAUAAACUCUAAAUUUUCUGACCGCCAACAACAAAGCGUACGCUAUUUUCUCAAUGUUUAGGUAUCUUACUUUGGCAUCUUUCAGCACUUUGCUGACAUAGAAAACUAGUUUUUGUUCUCCUCCUUCCACUCUCACCAGUACGGCACUAACAGCUUGCUCUGAGGCUGAUAAGUAGAUCAAGAGCUCUUCCCAUUCCAGUGGGCUACUGAGCACAUGUGGCGAGCUAAGAUAGCGUUUGAGUUCUUCGAAGGCUUUUCGACAGUCCUCUGUCCAUUCAAAGUUCGAAACUUUUCUCAACUUCUUAAAAAACGGCAAGCAUCUUUCAGCCGACCUUGACAUAAAGCGAUUGAGCGCUACUACCUUUCCAGAAAGUCUUUGGACAUCCCUCACGCAGGUCGGCUCAGGCAUUUUUAAGAUAGCUUCUACCUUCUCUGGAUUGGGCUCAAUGCCUUUUCCACUCAUCAUGUAUCCCAAGAACUUCCCUCCCCUGAUGAAGAAAGCACAUUUAGCCGGGUUCAGCCUCAUUCUAUAUUGCUCCAGUACUUCAAACACCUCCCUCAAGUCUGUUAAGUGUUGUUGAAAGGUCAGACUCUUCACCACCAUAUCAUCCACAUAUACUUCGACAUUCCUGCCGAUCUGAUCUUUGAAGAUUUUGUUCAUCAAUCUUUGAUAUGUUGCCCCGGCAUUCUUCAGCCCGAAAAGUAUGGCCUUAUAGCAGUAGGUUCUGUCUUCUAUUAUGAACGAGGUCUUUUCUUCAUCCGACCUGUCCAUUGAAAUUUGGUGGUAACCGGACAUUGCAUCCAAAGACGACAUGUAAUCAAAACCGGCCGUGAAGUCGAUCAUUUUAUUAAUAUCAGGGAGGGGAUAACAAUCUUUGGGACAUGCCUGAUUCAGGUCAGUAAAGUCUAUACACAUCCUAUAUUUGCCAUUGGCUUUUUUUACUAAUACAGGAUUUGCUAGCCAUUGGGGGUACAUCACUUCCCUGAUAAACCCUGCCUCCUCUAGCUUUUGCACCUCCUCCCUGGUGGCCUACUGUUUCUCUCUUCCCACCACCCUCUUCUUCUGUUUCACCGGCCUGGCUUAUGGGAGAACGUUCAGCUUGUGAGUCAUCACCUCCGGGUCUAUCCCGGGCAUGUCAGACGGCUUCCAGGCGAAGCUUGACGCAUAACCUCGGAUCAGGGCCAUUACUUCAGUUUUCUGUUCCUUAGUUAGGCCAGCGUUAAGGCUGAAAACCUCGUCUGUCUCUACUUCUGAUAGGGGGAAGGUUUCCAGCUCUCCAACCGGCUCUGUUUUGGCCUCUUUCUUCUCAUCUCGGACCUCCAGGACCUCUGAGUCAAACUUUUCCCCUGCCGAGCUCGGCUCUGAUACCGUGGCCAAGUACACUGCUCUCGCCUCUUCCUGACUUCCUUUGACUACUCCCACCCCUGCUUCUGUCGGGAACUUCAUGGCCAAGUACCUUAUGCUGGUUACAACUUCAAAGUCAUACAGUACUGGCCUUUCCAGUAUUGCAUUGUAGUUUAGGGGAAGUUUCACCACCAGGAACACCAUGUAGUGCGUCCGAGCCAAAGGUGCUUCUCCGAGAGUGAGAGCCAGCUUCACCUUUCCUUCUACAGGUACUGGGACUACUCUGAUCCCCUUCACCGGGGCCUGAUCCCGAACCAGUUGUUCUUCAGGGAUUCUCAUUUGUUGGAAGACCCUGUAUAGCAACAAGUUCACCUUGCUACCAUUGUCGAUGAGAACCUUCCUGACCUGGUAGUUAUGGAUGACGGCCUCGAUAACAAGAGCGUCGUCGUGAGGCAUCUGAACGCCCUGGGCAUCCUUCAGAUAGAAGGAGAUGGUCACUGGAGAAUGUUCAACUACCUGCAUGACCUCGGCACUGCUACCCUCCCCGUCUCAGCUUCUCUUUUUUCCUCUUCGGCUCAUCCGAUCUCCAGUUCCCCCCACAAUCAUGUUGAUGGUUCCGCUGGAACCAUCAUUCACCGGUCUUGCUCCCACCCUCCGGGGUCUCUCUGCUGUAGGGUUAGGCUGAGGCCUUUCUCCCUCUGGUUUUUUUAUGAAAUUUCUGAGGUGUCCCCUCUUUAUCAACCUCUCAAUUUCGCUGAUCAGCUGAUAGCAGUUGUUGGUGUCAUGGCCGUGUGUACGAUGAUACUGACAGUAUUUGUCAGGAUCCCGCUGGCUCGCCUCGGCCCUCAUUGGUUUCAGCCAUUGGAGGAACUCCUUGUUCUGGACUGCCAUGAGCACUUCGGCUCUGGAGGCAUUGAGUGGUGUCAGGUUCUUUGGGACCCGCGGGGGGAAUGUUCUUUGUUCUGGAACCCGAGGGGGGAGGGGUCCUUGAUCCCUUUGGUCCUAGGGCCGUCUGUACGGCUCAGGUCUUUUGUUUUGCUUUUUAUCAUGCCUCUCUGGCCUCCUUUCUUUCGGGGCUUUUCCCCUGUCUGCUGACUCCUUAGCAAAUCUGCUUGUUACCAAGGCAUCAUCCUGCCUUAUGUACUUCUGUGCCCUCUUCAUCAGUUCUACCAGCGAGGUGGGAGGCUUCCUACUCAAUGAGCCAAAGGACUCUGGGGAGGUCGUCCCCUUCUGCAUGGCCUCCACCGCUCUGCCCUCGUCCAGCUCGGGGAUUUGCAAAGCCUCCGUAUUGAAACGGGCGACAUACUCCCUUAAAAACUCAUUCCUCCUCUGCCUGACUGUCUCCAGGUAGCUCGUCUUUCUGUCCGCUGGUACUCCAGCGAUGAACCGGAUGAUGAAGAUAUUGGCCAAAUCUCCAAAACUUCUGAUACUUCCAGCCUCUAGACUGUUAAACCACGCUCGUGUCAGGGGCCCGUGAGCGUCGUGGGGAAUAUCUUGCACAUCAAGGCAUCCGAUAGAGUCUGCAGCUCCAUGAAAGUCUUAUAGUUAAGGAUGUGCUCCCUUGGGUUUUCGGUUCCGUCAUAGGCUGCCAUGGGUGGCAUCAUAAACUUCUUGGGGAUGGUCUCCUGCUGCACCCAUUUCGAGAAAGGUGAAGAGGUGGGCAAGAGAGCUUGGUUGUGAUCCUUCACCCCAAACUCAAUCAGGAGUUGCUCCUUCAUUUUCUGCAGCUUUUGAUCCACACCCUCUUAUUCUUGUCUGGGCCGCUUCUCCAGGCGAUAUUCUUCUUCUUGCUCUUCAUCUUCUGUCCUCCUAGUUGUCCUGGCAGAGUAACUUUCUGCCUCAUCAUGUUCUAUCAACUCCCUUACCCUUCUUCCCCAGAUUCUAGCCUCCGGCUCUUCCUCUUCGCCUGGCCUCCUCCCCCUUUCUCUAGUUUCUCUGCUGUUUGUUUGAGGGUGGUUAAAGGUAGGCUGGGGUUCAUUGGUGCGGGGUUCUUCUACCACAGGCAACAUAUUCACCGGGGUAUUGAGGCCCCUCUGCUGCAUAAUUUGCCCUAGCCAAUGGGCAGUGUUUUGUAACUGGAGAGCCAUGGCUUGGAGGUCCUGGUUGGAUAAGGUGGUUUCGGGUGUAUUCCCUGCUAAGCUCGGUGAGGGAUUGAAAGGGAUUGGUGUUUGGUUAUUGGGAGUUGUGGGACUGGAAAAAGAGAACUGUUGCCCCUCCUGGGCGGAGCUCAGGUCAUUGGGAGUGUUGACGAUGUUGUUUUCGUUAUGGUUGGCCAUUGUGGAUCUCAGUGAGUUUUGUAAGAGUGGAACUCUGGUGAUGAAAAAAUCUCCUUCGUUCCCACAGAAAGCGCCAAUUGAUGAUCUGAGAUCCAUAAAAUAGGGUUUUACAAUGGUUGAGUAAGAUUGGUCUGAGAGGAGGGUGCUCCUCUCCUUUUAUUCUUUUUCUUGGUCUGUCAGUGAUGUGUAAUGGCCUCACUGCCAUUGGGCUACCUGUCUCUGCCAUACGGAUACGGUCGUACGAAGAUAUCAGACAUCUGCUCCAUGCGUAACGGCCAUUUAAUUCUCCUUUCUAGCAUGCGGGUUAACCGAGCAAUUCGGGGCUAGGCCAGUGAUCCUCACUUUGCUAAGCUUUCAGGCCGGACUCGGAGAGAGAAAGCUGGAUCCUGAGAAAAGUUCGACCUCAAGGAUGAAUGGGCCGGGUCUUCUCAUUUGUGGGAUUCCGCGGGUCCUGGGCCAGCCCUGUCACUGUGGACUCGGCCUCUUACCAGGGUAACGAAACCCGGCGGUCAUCAAAAACUAAAACCAUAUUUAUACUAAAAUUAGUUUAAAGUUGAAGUGAAAUCCGCUGCUAUAUUUUAAAAUUUAAAUAAUGAUAUAUUUUUAUUGAAGUCGUAAAAUUAUUAUCUUACUAUUAAAUUAACAAUUUGAUAGUAAAAAUUCAUUAUAUAUAAUAUAUUGUAAUAAAAAUUAUUUUAUAUUUAAUAAAAUCAUAACUUUAAAUGUAUUUUUUAUAUAUCUUGAAAAGAAAAAUAAAUUGAUACUUUAUGCUUAACCAUAAAUUUAUAUAUAGUUGUUUUUACACGGUUAUUAUUGAUUGAUGGCUAAAUCUAGAAUAUAUAAGACACCUAUUUAAAUUUAUAUUUAUAUUUUACAGCGUGAUUAUAAUUAAAAAUAUAUUUAUUUUAUAAAAAAAUAUUUAUUAUAUUUUUUGGUAUUUGGACACUUAAAUAAAUUAGUUAAUAUAUAAAUUUUAUUGGUCAAAAUAAAAAUUAAAAAUGACUUUUUUUUCAAUAAAAUAAGUUAUUUUAUGCCAUUUAAAAUCUUAUUAAAUAAACUUGUUAUAUAUUUAAUUUUUUAAAUUAAAAUGUAAAAAUAAAAAAAUUUAUUUUAAAUACUUUUUUAUUUAUGAAAAAUAAUUUGUAUUUAAAAAAUAUUUUUUAUAAAAUAAAUUAUUUUUUAUUAUUUAAUUUUAAUUUUAAAAAAUAAAAUAUACUGAUAAAUUUAUAUAAAAAGAUUUUGAUAAGAUUUUCAAAAUAUAUAUAAAAAAAUAUUUGACUAUGAAAAUAUUUUUUAUUGAUUAAUUUUUUUAAAUAUUUUAAACAUUAAAAUAUAUAUAAAAUAUUUUUUUGAAAAAAUAUUUUUCGUCAAAUAAAUAAAGUCUUCUUGAAAAAUAAUUUUUAUAAAAAAUAUUUGAUAUGAAAAUUAUUUUUUCAAAUAAAAAAUAGAGUGGAAGAGUUUUUUUUCAAGUCUUAUUUAUAUAUUAAAAAAAAAGUUAAACAAUAUAAGAAAAAAAGUUUGGUGCUUUUGUUAAUUAUAAACAUAUUUUUAUUUUUGUCAAUAUGUAUGUUUUAAUUUUAGAUACUAGUCAAAAUUGAAAAUUUGAACGGCUGAUAUGGCUAAUGUAAUAUUGAUAAUACUGUUUAACAUAUAAUUUGCUCAUGUGCCACCAAGUAUAACAAUAAGAAAAUGAAAAUUUUUAUAUAGACCUUAUUUAUUAUAAAUUUAAUAUAUAUAAACGUAAGUCUCAUAUAUUUUUUAUGAAAAAAAUUCACAUUUAAGUAUAUUGUUUAUUUUUAAUUAUUAGAUUUAUAACAUAUUAUCCAUCACAAUUAAAAUAAUAAUAAUAUAAUAAGUUAUAUUAGAAGACCUAAUUUUUUUAAUUUUAACCAGAAGCUAAAAAUUGAUAUAAAAUUUUCAAAUUAUGUUAGAAUCCACAAAAUUAAAAGAAUUAAUUAAAAUUGAAAAUAAUGAAAAGUUUUUUGUUGUUAAAAAAAGAGUUCAAUUGGCUUCAAUAAAAUAAAAGGAUUUCCCAUAUUGAAGUUUCAAAUUGUUAAUUAUUUUAAAAUUAUUGAAGAGAAAUUAAUUAUUAUAAUCUCAGUUAAUUUUAUCUUGUUUAAAAAAAUAUUUCAAAAUAUUUAUGAAUAUUUAAUAAAAUUUAAUAUAUUUAAUAUAGAUAUAAUUAAAAAAUUAAUAAAAAUUUUAUAUUUUUUAUUAUAUAUAAAAAAAUGAAUCGGACAAAAAAAUUAUAAGACAGACUAAAUUUAAAAUUUCAUUCCCUUUAUACUUUUGAGAAAAAAAAAAAAAAAACAUUAAUGGAAUGUGCAAUGCGGGUCUCUUGAUCGAAAAGGAGAGGCCGACGACUCGGUUGGUUCCAAUGGACUCAUACCGGGCCUAGGCUAGGGUCAAUGAUAUCAGAAUAGAAUUGAAACUAAAUAACAAAAAUCUACCGAGUAAAAUAAGGUUGCCAAUUAAACUAAUAGCCGACUUUGCCGACUUGAAAAGCUAUAUAUCAAGCAUGUUUGAAACGCGUAUGCCAUUCAGAUUUGAGAACGCGUAAAAACUACGAGGAAGAUUCCGUUUCUCCUCUUUUCUCUUCUCCUACCCAUCUCCUUUUUCUCGAUGUCUGCGGCUCUCCUUUGCCACUGACGUGCCUCUGUAUCUCUCUGCUCUGCCACUCCGGUAUGGUAUUUCGGUUCUUGUGUCUUGUCAAGGACAGGCUGCCGAAACCACAGAUUUCGUAAUCUAGGGUUUUCAAUUUUGAUUGUUUCGUUGAAUCAAUUGCUUUUUUUGCCCCUCUUUCUGCUAAUCGCCGGUUUUUGUUGAAUAUUGCAGCUGAUUAUAUUUUUGUGUUUCCUGAAUCUAAUUUGUAACUAUCUUGCUGAUAUCUAGAGAUCGGUUUUAUUAGGAUUGAUCAUUAAAAAAGGGGGAGGGCAUAUUUGAUUUUUUUUUUUUGGGGUUAGGGUUUGGAUUUCUUGGUUGUGUGCAUUAUACAAUUGAGCUUGAAUUUUGAUUGAGAAGAAGUUGUGGUUCUUAUUAAUAUGGCAGCAGGGCGGAUCGACGUUUCGAGGAGAAGGGUUUAUGAUGGUUACUCCAAUAAGUACUUUGAUCACUAUAGGAAAGGUGCUCGUGGCGUGGAUUUGAAUCGUGCUGUUGAGCAUGGUGUGGUAUACAAGAACGGGUACCCUAUUUCCUCAAAUGCGCGGAAUCUUUGUGUUCAAAGAAGUGGGCUUAGUUGCAGAGAUGAAGAGAGAGAGUUGGCUGAUUUGCAAAGUAGAACUGGCCUUGAUCAUUCCUCAAGGUUGGAGGACGGUGAGAUACCCAAGUCUGAUGAUGGAAUUCAGAUGCCUCCAGCCAAGAAAAGGAAAUUCUCCCCCAUUAUAUGGGACAUAGAGGACAAAGUAGCGACAAAAAUUAGAGCUGUCCCAACAAGUACUACCUCAUCUACAUUUUCUUCUUCACACGGGACUUGCAGUCGGGGACCGAAAAUUGUUCUAGAUGCAGGUAUUACAAAACAUGCUUCCCAGGAAAACCAGCAUAUAGGAUUGGAGAGUGUGUCAGAUAAGCCUUGUGAGACAGCAGGAUUGGUAGAUACUAAUGGAACCGAGUCCGAGUCUCUGGCAAAAUUGUCUCCUUCAUUUCCUCGAGAGAAGCACAGGGAUGAUAGCCAAGAACAAGGUGAAGGCGAGGAGGAGGAGUUUGCUGAAGCACGGAACAUAUCCAUGUCACGUUGGGCCUCUGACAGCGAUUCUCCAAAAGAUGCAAAUUUGUCUGAUGAUGAAGGCAUACCUGGAGAAAAUACACACAGAAAGGAGUUCAGUGCUGAGAGAAUGGAGUGUCAUAGGGAGGCUUUGGUUAUAGAUGGAUCAAGAUCAUCUGGAUUCAGUGAAAGAUAUUGCAGUUCGGGGGAAGAUGGUGAUGUUGUAAGCAAGUUGAAAAAUGUUGGUCCCGUGAAUGGUGAUGGGUUCCAGGGUGAAAAUGACAAUUUUAUCCAGAUCGAUGAUAUUUCGAGUCAUGUUGAAGAGUCUAUAGCUUCUACCCAAAGAGGCCUGAAUAUGCUUCAGGGUUGUAGAAGUGUGUACGAAUACGAGAAACUUCAUGAAAUUAAUGAAGGUACAUAUGGUAAAGUGUACAAAGCAAUUGAUAAGAGGACCGGGGAACCUGUGGCAUUGAAAAAAGUGAAGAUGGAUGUAGGAGGAGACAGGAACUUAGAAGAAUAUGGCUUCCCUUUAUCCUCACUGAGAGAAAUUAACAUUCUUUCAUCUUUUUAUCACCCCUCAAUUGUGAAUGUUAAAGAAGUUGUCAUGGGCAGCCUUGAUAGUGUUUUUAUGGUGAUGGAAUAUAUGGAACAUGAUCUCAAAGGGCUUAUGCAGAAAAUGAAACAGCCUUUUAGUACCAGUGAAGUAAAAUGUUUAAUGCUACAGUUGUUGGAAGGUGUAGAUUAUCUUCACGAUAACUGGGUGCUUCAUAGGGAUUUGAAGACAUCAAACCUCCUUCUGAACAAUCAAGGGGAAUUGAAAAUAUGCGACUUCGGGAUGUCACGCCAGUAUGGGAGCCCAUUGAAGCCUUAUACAUCUCUUGUGGUUACUUUGUGGUACAGGUGAGCAGCAAUGACAUGAUUAUUCAGUAAAUGUGAUGUUUUAUCUAUCUAAUUAUUUUAUUUGCAUCUCCUUCCCACCUCCCCACCCCUCACCCCUUUCCUGAUUGGUGCAUUAGUUUAUUCUUGGUUUCCAUCUUUGUUUCUGCCACUAUAGUCAAAUGUCGACUGUGUGAUGUCAUAUAUGCAAUAUUACUGAAUACGAGAAAGCCUGAUGUAUACUCAUCACCUAGAUGAUAUCUAUGAUAUUGAAAUGGGUUUGAAAUUUGGUGGUUGAUGGGGGGAUGGUUCUUCAAUAUACACUAUCUUCCUGGAAAUGUCAACUGCAAGAGUUCAUGGAUGCAAACAAAACCUAGAUUUUUUAGAAGGGUCAAGUUCACCAAGUAUGCUUCUCUCUCUCUCACAAGAGACCUGAAGUCCAACGUUUUAUGGUAGAACUAGGCAGGUUGUCUCCAUGCACGAGUAUGAUCAAUAAUUUCUGUUGAAGGAAUACUAUUCUUGUGUUUUCAACUUCUAAUUGUUGGUGAGUGCUAGAUUUUAAUCUAUCGUUUUGUGCUGCUUGGGAGUUCAGGUCGAAGUUAGAAGGUCUGUGUGCAUCAUACCCAAUUGUCUGGUCUAUCUGUUACCAGUUCUUACUUGUGUUGUGCUCAAUUUAUUAGUUUCUUGCUAUUUGGUCUCUUACAGUAGUGUGCAUGUAAUAGUAUAGUAUGAAAUUCCUACAUUAGAAGUAAAUACAAUUCUGUAAUGUGUACAUUGCAGGGCACCUGAGCUUCUGCUGGGAGCAAAACAAUAUUCAACAGCAAUUGACAUGUGGUCUGUGGGUUGCAUAAUGGCUGAACUAUUGACAAAGGAACCCCUGUUCAAGGGAAAAGGUGAAAUCGAUCAGCUUGGCAAGGUAAUAAUCAGCACUUAUGUUUCUUGUUAUACACUGUUUUCUUAUCCUUUUAAGUGGUAAAAUUUUGGCAAAACAAUAAUUGCAGAUAUUUAGAAUUCUUGGGACGCCAAGUGAGACAAUUUGGCCUGGAUUUUCCAAAUUGCCGGGGGCUAAAGCAAAUUUUGUUCAGCAGCCGUGAGUAUCAACUUAUGCCACACUGUUCUUUAGUUUCUGCAAUUUGUCCAUUCGCUAUUAAUCUUAUUUGGACUCUUCGCCGUGUUCUUUUAAUAGUUUGCUACCUUUUUCAGUUAUAAUCUGUUGCGCAAGAAGUUUCCAGCCACAUCUUUCACAGGAUCUCCAGUUCUCUCUGAUUUGGGAUUUGACUUGUUGAACAAGCUUCUAACAUAUGAUCCAGAAAAGGUAUCGCCAUGUCUGCUGUAAUUAAAUUAUGUACCAUUUCAAAUUGUGUGAUUGUUAUACUUAUCAAUAUUGUUGCCAAUGCAGCGAAUAACAGCUGAUGCUGCCCUCAACCAUCCUUGGUUUCAUGAGGUUCCUCUGCCAAAAUCUAAAGAAUUCAUGCCUACUUUUCCUCCUCAGUAUGUGAAGAAAAGAUAGAAGCCAGACAGCUAGAAGCAUCCUACCGUAUCAGAGGAUGGGUAGGGAUUCUUCUCUUAGGGUGUCUGAGAAGCUCAGAAUUUCUCCGGAGGAGAUUGUCAGGACACGGGGUGUUAUCAGACACAGGUGGAUCAUAUGUUUUGGAAGAACUGUAUAAAAGUCUUCUUGCAGAUGCAUGUUUGUAAUUUUUUUUUUUUUUUUUUUUUCGGUAUACUUGAACUGAAAAUCGUGGCUGUUGACCUUUCUUUUUUGACAUUCAUCUUCGUGUUCAGGAUUGUGUCUUUCAAAAGAAAGAGAUUGAUUCAUAGUUCUAUGGGAGACGUUUCUUUCUUUGUAGUGAUCCUGUAUCCUCCUUGAGCUGUAAGGUCUUGAGGUGUUGACAGAAUUCUUUAGACAUCUGCCUUUCAGUUCUACCUGAGUUGGCUUGAGCUCAAGUUGUAAAUAAUUCAGCUUAGUCAUCUUAAUACUUAAGAAGUUUUAUCUUUAUUUUUUUUAAAAAUUUUUAUUGUCAAGCUGCUGUUUCACUAUUUCUCUUUCCAAUAAUGUUUGUUUGCAAGAGAUUACUAGAUUACUGUUGCAAGACGAGGGAGGAACAUCGAUGAUGUUUUUUCAAAGGUCGGAAAGAAGUGCACCAGGUAAACAAUAUUUGUUUAAUGCUAACCGAGUAUCUGGUACUGCUCUGGUAUGUUAGUGCGAAUCAAUUAUUAUUAUUAUUUUAAAGUGGUUGUGUGGAACUGCAGAGCAUUAAGAAAAGGAGGAGGAGAGAGAGAGAGGGGGGUGGGGGGUGCGUUUUUGUGUCUGUAUAAUGGGGUGUGCUUGUUUUCUGUCUGUAUAAUGUGUUUGCAAGUAUGGUUCUAUUCUACUCUGCUUGUAGUCAUGUUAUCAUCAGUUAGAUAAGCUAGUGCUUGGUAGUAGCUUUAUGGGGUCCAUUAUAAUGGACAAUGCCGGAAAGUUCAAUCCCUCUAUUUAAAUUUUCGCUUUAUUGUGUUCAAGUAGGGUAUCCAUCUAAUUAUCGGCCGGUUGACUAAUUUUUUUUAGAUUUGCAGUUGUGCAUAUGCUUCUUUUGGGUAUAUCUCUUCUCCUCUCGCAUUCUCUCCCCCUCACGAAGAUCAUGCUUGAAAUAUCCAAUCCACUUUCUGGAUUUUUAUCUCCCGCUUCUAUCAUUUCAUUGGGUGUAUCCUUGCAGCUUUGCUGUGUCGAAGUUGAUCAUGCAAAAGGACUAGAUUGAAGCCGUGCUAUUGAUGCGUCAUGUUACUAAUGCAAAGGAGAAGACAAGUUGGGAAUAUCUAAUUUGGCAGAGGGGAUCAUUUUUAAUUUAACUUGCCAUUUUUAUUUGUUUUACCAAACUAACUUGAUGUAAAUCGAUUUUAUUGCCAUCCCAUUUCACGAACAGAAAUAGCAAAGUAAAGGUCAUUAAUUAUAUGUAGUUAUUCUAUUCUUUUAAAAUGGGAAGGAUCUUGAAUUUUCCGGAAUAUCAAAUUCGUCAUGCAUGAGAAUUCUGUAGUUGGGGAUCAAUUAAAUUGGCCGCUUCUGCGACAUAUGCAAACCAUUUUAGUAAGGAUCUUGGUGAGAUUUUGUCCUCCAAUAAAAUCGUGACCGCUUUCGGAGCGAAGCAGAGAAUAUAAAUGCAUGUAUCGUUCUUUGGGAAGUCCCGAUAUUUCUGUUGGAGAGGCAUAUGGGCUGCUCUCUGGCGAUGUCUGAAGCAGUCUAUAUUAUACUCGAAGGAAAGAAGCAGCUGCGUUAUGCUCGAAAUGACGUGCCCAAAGAGAGAGCUGUAGUUAUCUAUGAUGAAUAUAUGUGAUAUAAAAACCACGUCAAAAUUUAAGGAUAACUUCACGGCGCCCACCCCAUAGAAGUGGGGAAGGGUUUCUUUUUGGAAACGAGAGCUUAUGGUCUUCCCAAUCAUUUAAGGACAAGUGAUUUCAAGAAAGAAGAUGUUGGAGAUGAGUUCAACUCUCCAUCCACAAAAAAAGGAGACUAUCGAGUUGGACUGUGUCACGGGCUAAUAUUGUAGCAUUCAUUCAAGACCGGUAGCACUUGAUUUGAAGACAAUUUGAGAAUCAUUCAAUAACCUGUGAUCAAUUUCGAUAGUCAUUAAAAAGUGCACAUUAGAAUUCAUGAGCAAGUUUUUUAUUUUAUUUUAGAGGUAAAAUUGUAACUACACAUUAAUAUCAAUACAAUCAUUAUAAUAAUGAUGACAAACAAGAAGUAUGAACAUAACUCAAAAACUCAUCAAGCUUACCGUGGCUAGUUGAUCAUAAUUUUCACUAGUUUAAUCACUCUCCUUAAAGAGUUCUAGAAAUAAAAUAAUUGAUAGUAGUAUGAAACAUCAAUACGUUUUAAAUGACACGAGCCAGAAUGAAUAAAUAAAAAGGAAUUGAUUCAACAAUUAAUUACUAUUAAUUAAUACUAACUUUUUUUUCAUAUUGUUUUCAGAAAGUUUCAUUGCUAGAAAAUUAUAAAUCAUUGAAAUUCUAAACUCCUGACACUCUCCCAUUUAUGAUGUUGAUGUUUUCGUAGACUUAACUUGUUAGAGGUUUUCAAUCUAUUGUUUGGAUGCUUGAUUUUUUUUCUCAAUUUGACUGACUUUAUAAGGAUCGUUGCUAUUUCUUUAUACAAAAGUUGUUCGCCUGAACACCAGUAUCAAAAGUUUUAUUUUUGAUGGAACUUUUAGCCCGUCGAUUAAAGUAUUAAGAAUCUUCAAUCUUCUGUAAAUGUGAUUUUAAGGUUAGCAUUUCAAUCUUCUUCACGAAUGCAUUUCACAAACUCAUUUGUUUGUUGUAUAUUCCUUUGCUCAUCGCUAUUGACUGCUACUUUUGAGUGAUGAUUACUUUGCAAAAUCUCCAUUGACGAAUGGUUUGUUGCUCCAACUCAUUCAUAUAAGUAAUUGGGUAAAUGGAAACCGACCAACACAGUUGUCAAAUAUCUCCUCAGCUCAAUAUAAUUUUGAUCUACUUGUAAAGAAACCAGUUGAUUCCUCGUCGAAAUGGUGUCUCUGCUGCACAAAUGUCUUGCUCAACUCUAUGUGGCAUUGACUUGCACUCAUUUCCUCCUUCACACAUCUCGUCUUUCCUUCUCUUUAAAACUUCGGCACUCUUUGUUCUUUACUUCUAUUUCUCUAGCAAAUGAUAUAGUUAUUUAUCUACCUGCAUAAGACUCACACCACAUAUAAGAUAUUCAAGACUAUUAAUGUGCGACAAACGCAUAAAAAACUUAUUAGUUAAAAGGUUAUACUCAAAAUAACUAUUACCACAAAUUAUACAAGAAGCAAAUAGUAAUAUUAUAUUGAUGCCACAAUAAUAAGUUAUGGAAAGGUACUCCCUUAUUGGGAAGCCAUCAACGUUGCGGCAUUUCACUACCUCGAUCAAGUACACUUUUCAGCAUCCAUCUUGGUAUUCUUCUUUGUUAUCAUUUUGCUCUCAACUCGAUUGGUUUAUGAUGUUACUUUUCUAGUCAAUUACGUAGGUAAAACUGGACUUGGUUCUAGCAAAAAGCAUAUCACCCAUUCUUUUCACUUUUAAGAAAGCUACAUACUGUAUAUUCUCAAGAUUAAUUAGUGCAAAUCUAUAGAGUCCGUAGCAAAAGGAAUCUUAUUUGUUAUAACACAAUAACAUCCAAAAUAAUUAGUUUUUUAAAAGAACAUAUCAAAAAAUUUCACAUACUAUAUUGCAUUGACACGAGAGAGCCUCCUCUCAUACUUCGUCUCAGAUUUAGGUGUACCACUUAAGAGCUUCGUCUCCAAUCAUCUCUAGCCGUCGUCUUAGAAAUGCUUUGUGGCACUAUUGUCAGAAUUUAUCUCUUUCACUCUUUCAACAUUCAAAAUCUAAUGUGGCCUUUCGUGCAGAUAACACCACAUUAUGCUUGAUUGCUCCAUUAUUGUGUUAUUUGACUCACCAUGUGUUUCCUCACAACCUUUGCCAAAAAUUCACAGUUAACACAUUAUUACCAUUAUGAUGACGUCUAUCACUUUUAUUUGCUCUCCUAUUUAAUGUUUUGGCCCAUUUGUUUUUGAAUGAUUAUUUGUAUGACAUGGAGAAUUGCACUUCUCUUGAACUCCUUGUUAGUAUAACCUACUAACUCUUGGUCAACUUGCUUUACACUAUGUUCCUCCAGAUUUCAACAUUUUUCAUGAAGUUUUAAAAUCUAUCAUGUCUCUUGAACCUAUUAAAAUAAUUCACCUAUUCUUUCAUGAGUCAAAUGUCACAUACUCAUAGUAAAAUUGAAUUUACAUUCUCUCUUCACUAUCUCAUGGCUAUAGGUUGGACAUUUCUGUUCAUAGAAUCUUCCUUUAAUUUUCCAUCACGGUUUAGUAUUGUUGAUUAGACACAAAUAUUAUUCUUAACCUAUCUAUACAACAACAAUUUUCAAUAAUAUUAAAAAAUAAAUUCACCUCCCGAGCACCACACUAAGAUUUAUUUUUCUAUAAUUCCAAUAUCGCCUACUUCAUAGACAUCCAUAUUAGAAUAGUGUCUCUCACCACCACUUUUAGCCUGGCUUAUUUAUUAGGUUUCUCGUAGAAAUUAGCUUGCAAUUUUCGCCAUAGAGAAUUAGUUUAUGUUGUAUCACAUUCAAUGUUGUUGCGCCUUAAUUUUUAAUGUUUUGAUUUCGAGAAUCUUAGAUAGCUUCAAGCUUUAUUGGCUCAUCCUUCCUUGUUGCCGUACCAAAGAUUAUUACUCUCUUUGCAAAAGUCACUAAAAAGAGCAUAUAACACCUAGUCACUAUCCCCUCUCCAAUACAUCUCAAAUGGAGUGUCCAGAACUAAGUCACUUCCUCUCUUUAAAUAAUGCAUGCAGCAGCACCCUGAUCAAUAUGAUUGUUAAAGCUAAAAUGCUCAAAUUUUCUUCUUCUUAGCAUUUUAAUGCGCUUAUUUCAUAAUUUUUAGCAUCAGAUGAACUACCUAGCUUUCUUUAUAGUCUAUCUCAAAUAGAACAUCCACUGAUACAAGUACAUAACUUCUCAACCCUUUUCUUCAAGGCAUUAGAUCUUCUAAUAAAUUUCUUCAAGGCAUUAGAUCUUCUAAUAAAUUUCAUUAUAUUCUUAGCAUGAUUCACCGAUCAUACCUUUGCUUUGAUACCAUCACAGGCUCAUAUUUUAGCACUCAUUCAAGAUCGUGCAACACUUGAUUUAAACGUAUUCAAGCCAAGUCAACCUUAAAAAUCAUUCAAUAAUCUGACUCUAGACAAUAACGAUAACCAGAGUUAUUUCAAUACAAUAGUCACAGGAAAUAAAAACUACAUAUGAGAAUUCAUGAGUUGACUACUUAUUUUAUUUCAGAGGUAAAAUUAUAAUUAUACAUUCGCAUCAAUAUAAUUGCUACAAUAAUCCUCACGUCCCUAGUAAAUAGAAAACUCCGCUUAAAGAGCUUUAAAAACAAAAUGGCCGUUGCGGAAGGAGACAUCAAUAUGUCUCGUAUAAUAGCUCCCAAAAUAAAUAAAUAAAUAAUAAUUAUAAAUAACUUACUCUACACUUAAUUUACUACUAAUUUAUGAUAAUUUUUUCCUCAAUAUUGUUUUGGAGAAAUUUUAUUAUUGAAAAAUUACAGUUUUAGUCCUUAAAACUCUAGGCUCCUGACAGCCUGCAAGUAUGUUGAUGUGUAACCAGAUGAUCCUUCAAUAGCUGAUUUGGGAUUGGACAGCCAAGCUCAAACUUUAGAGGUUAUAAACAUCUUAACUUCAUUGCAAUGCUCUUUGUGCUUGCAAAAAUCAUCUCAUACUAUUGCAUGAUUGUUCAGGAAAUUCCUCAGAGGUGAAUAGAAUAACUGUUAUAAAAUGGAACUGCUGCAAAUUGAAAAUCACAGCAGAAAAUAAUAUUGACAAAGUUUUAAAUGAGUGGAAGACCAUAUAUUACUUUUCACUGUAACUGGGGUUUUAUACAAGAUGAAAUAACAAAUUCUUCUAAAAUCAAGGAAUCAAAUAACAAAAAAAUAAAGUUGAGAUUCUAAUGCUGGAAAUCUGGAAUUCCAGCUAUGUUAUUGAAAAAAUAAUAAACAUAUCUAAUUUGAAAUUCAAAUUAGUUGUUGUAGUCAAAAUGCCAGUACUUCAACACUCCUCCAUGGCAUUUUGAUGACAAACUCCUAUGUUUUUCCUCAGAGCUUCAAAUCUUUCUUUUGGCAAGGACUUUGAGAAUAUAUCAGACAAUUGUUCUUCAGAUGAGCAAUGAACAAGUAACACUUCAUUAGAUUGUUGUACUUCUCUAAGAAAAUGAAACUUGAUCUUGAUGUGCUUGGUUCGCCCNNNNNNNNNNNNNNNNNNNNNNNNNNNNNNNNNNNNNNNNNNNNNNNNNNNNNNNNNNNNNNNNNNNNNNNNNNNNNNNNNNNNNNNNNNNNNNNNNNNNNNNNNNNNNNNNNNNNNNNNNNNNNNNNNNNNNNNNNNNNNNNNNNNNNNNNNNNNNNNNNNNNNNNNNNNNNNNNNNNNNNNNNNNNNNNNNNNNNNNNNNNNNNNNNNNNNNNNNNNNNNNNNNNNNNNNNNNNNNNNNNNNNNNNNNNNNNNNNNNNNNNNNNNNNNNNNNNNNNNNNNNNNNNNNNNNNNNNNNNNNNNNNNNNNNNNNNNNNNNNNNNNNNNNNNNNNNNNNNNNNNNNNNNNNNNNNNNNNNNNNNNNNNNNNNNNNNNNNNNNNNNNNNNNNNNNNNNNNNNNNNNNNNNNNNNNNNNNNNNNNNNNNNNNNNNNNNNNNNNNNNNNNNNNNNNNNNNNNNNNNNNNNNNNNNNNNNNNNNNNNNNNNNNNNNNNNNNNNNNNNNNNNNNNNNNNNNNNNNNNNNNNNNNNNNNNNNNNNNNNNNNNNNNNNNNNNNNNNNNNNNNNNNNNNNNNNNNNNNNNNNNNNNNNNNNNNNNNNNNNNNNNNNNNNNNNNNNNNNNNNNNNNNNNNNNNNNNNNNNNNNNNNNNNNNNNNNNNNNNNNNNNNNNNNNNNNNNNNNNNNNNNNNNNNNNNNNNNNNNNNNNNNNNNNNNNNNNNNNNNNNNNNNNNNNNNNNNNNNNNNNNNNNNNNNNNNNNNNNNNNNNNNNNNNNNNNNNNNNNNNNNNNNNNNNNNNNNNNNNNNNNNNNNNNNNNNNNNNNNNNNNNNNNNNNNNNNNNNNNNNNNNNNNNNNNNNNNNNNNNNNNNNNNNNNNNNNNNNNNNNNNNNNNAGUAUCAUAAUCUUUGCUAAGUUUUAGAUUGGUGGCCAUAGGUGUACCAACAGGUUUGCACUCCUCCAUUUUGAACCUUCUUAAAACAUCAAAAGCAUAUUUUUGUUGACAUAUGAAAAUUCCACAACUAAGCUGUGUUACUUCCAUACCGAGAAAAUACUUCAUGAUGCCAAGAUCAGUCAUCUCAAAGCAACACCUCAUUUCAUCUUUGAACUGUUAAAUUAGUUCAAAAUUACUUCCUGUUACAAGCAUAUCGUCAACAUAAAUUGAAACAAUUAAGGAAUUUUCUCCACAUGAUUUUACAUACAAGGUUGCUUCACUCUGACUUCUGUAAAAAUCAAGUUGGAGAAGAUGACUGUCCAACCUGUCGUACCAAGCCCGUGGGGCUUGUUUUAAGCCAUACAAAGCCUUCUUUAAAAGAUAAACAUGAUCUUCUUUACCAGGAACUAAAUACCCAUCAGGUUGUUCAAUGAAAAUUUCCUCAACAAGAAAACCAUUCAAGAAAGCAGAUUUAACAUCGAGUUGAUGAAUCUGCCAUGAAUUAUGUGUCGCAAGAGCAAUAAUGAGUCUGAUUGUGUCAUACCUUGCCACAGGAGCAAAUGUUUCCUGGUAGUCCACACCAUAUUGUUGGGCAUAACCCUUCACAACUAAUCUGGCUUUGUGUUUACUGAUUGAACCAUCAGGAUUGAGCUUUGUCUUAAAAACCCAUUUGACUCCUCUGCGGUCUUUCGGUCUCUCUACCAAUUGCCAUGUCUCAUUUUUGUUAAUCAUCUGUAGCUCUUCAUCUAUUGCACUCCUCCAUGCUAAAGACUUAUGAGCUUCUUCAUAGCCAUUAGGUUCGAUGAGAACUGCUGCAUUACAACUUCAAUAGAUGUCUGCCAAGGACCUGACACCUCUCACAGGAAGAUCAUCCACAUUAUCGUUAGAGAAAAAAUCAGCAGUCAAAUCAUCAUUAUGGGACUGAUUAUCUAAGGAAUUUUUAAAGAAAAAAUCAUGUUGCAGUGGGUUUAGAUUUUUCCAAUAAAAAAAUGCCGCUUCAUCAAAUUUCACAUCCCUAGACACAAUAAUUUUUUAUGUCUGUAAAUAGAAAAUACGGUAACCUUUUGUUGAUGUCCCAUAACCAAUAAAAAUGCCUUUCUGAGCUUUACAAUCCAGCUUGCUCCUCUUAGGCUUAGGCACUUGAUAAAAACAAAUGCUCCCAAAUAUUCGAAUAUGGCCAACAGAAGGUUUAACUCCAAACCAAGCUUCAUAUGGUGUCUUGUUCACUAAAGCUCUUGUUGGAAGUUGAUUAAGCAGAUAAACUGAGGUGUUAACAGCCUCUGCCCAAAACUUAUUUGGCAUUUCUUUCUCCUUUAAAAGACACCUAGCCAUUUCCAUCACCGUUCUGUUCUUCCUUUCAGAUACACCGUUCUGCUGCGGUGUGUAUGGGACAAUGAACUGAUGUUCAAUACCAGUUGCUUUGCAAAAAUCAACAAAUUGGGUUGAACUGUAUUCAGCCCCAUUAUCAGAUCUCAAGAUUUUAAUUGUGAGAUUACAUUGAUUUUCCACAAGAGCCUUGAAUUCUUUAAAAACAGUAAAAACUUCACUUUUAAAUUUGAUAAAAUAUACCCAACACAACCUGGUAUAAUCAUCAAUAAAAAGAAUAAAGUAAUUGUUACCACUAAGGGAAGCAAUUUUCAUGGGCCCACACACAUCCGUGUGAAUGAGGUGAAGUUUUUUAGUGGCUCUCAAAGCUUGAUUUUUCGGAAACGGUAACCUUGCUUGUUUUCCAAAUUGGCAUGUCUCACAAAUUUGAUCAACGUGAUUAAUUGUAGGCAUGUCCUCAAUUAAUUCUUUUUGUUGUAUCUCCAUUAAACUUCUCUGAUUGAAAUGCCCGAAUCUUUUGUGCCACAAGUCUGAAUUACUCAAAAUGGUGGUAGUAAAUGCAUGCUCAGCAAUUUGCUCCCAAUUGAUUAAAAAACUCCUGUUUUUCAUUGUUACAGAGAACAUUUUUUCUCCAGCAGGAUUGAAAACUGUGCACUUCCGAUUUCUGAAUUCAAAAGCAUAGUCUCUCUCCAACAUCUGUCCAAUACUCAAAAGAUUUUGGCUAAUUUUAGGUAUAUAUAAAACAUAGAGAUGGCUUUUAUACCUGAUUGAGUUUGGAUAGUAAUAGCACCACUGCCUUCAACUUUAAUAUAUUGGCCAUUCCCAACCUUCACUCUAGACUUAUAAGUAUCAUCAAGAGUAGAAAAGAGAGAAUCAUCUUUGCACAUAUGAUGAGUGCAUCCGCUAUCAAUAAGCCACAAAUCACUUGCUCCAUUGAUAGAAAAACAAAAACCAACAAAAACAUGCUCUUCCUGUACCUCAGAUUCAUCGUCAUCGAUAGAAAGACAGAAAGGCAUAAAUGCUUGCUCCUCUUGCACAUCUACAUCAUCAGCCACUUGUGCUUGUUGGGUUUGAGCAUCUUUUUUUUUGAUUUGCAGACCUUGGCAACAUGUCCCAGUUGUUUACAUUUGCCACAAAUUGCAUCGGGUCUCCACCAACAAAACUUCUCAAGAUGAGUAGUUUUUUUGCAAUGAGAGCAAGGUUGAUAUUUCUUCUGUUUUGACCCAUCUUUGUUGCCUUUGUUCUUCUGAUUGGAAUUUUUUUUGCCUUUUUCAGCAUGUUGUUUAUGCAUAGAAAAUGCUCCUUCUACAGUGUUGUCUUGCCUCAAAAUUCUUCGUUGCUCCUGUGCUUGGGGAGCACUCAUCAACUCAGCCAAAGAAAUAGUGUUAAGAUCCUUGGACUCUUCUAAAGAGGAGAUUUUUGACUCAAACCUCUCAGGAAGAGUCACAAGUACCUUUUCGACAACUCGACUGUUGGGAAAGUCUUCGCCAAGUAACCUGAUAUUAUUAACAAUCGACGAAAUUCUAUCAGUAUACUCAGCAAGAGUUUCAUUUUCUUGCAUGGUUAGGGACUCGAAACUUCUUUUUAAAUUCAACACCUGCAUUUGUUUGGUUCUAUCACUGCCUUGAUACUCUUGUUUCAAUCCGUCCCAUGCUUCUUUUGCGGUUUUGCAAGCCAUAAUUCUGUAAAAAACAGAUUGUCCAACAGAAUUUUGAAUAAGGGUUUUGGCCUUCGAUCGCUUGGCUUUUUCUUCUGAGUUGUGUUUAAUUUGAGCCAAAGUUGGAUCUCUGGGUAGAGGGUUGAUUGGUCUGUCUUCAACAACAAUAUCCCAAAGAUCAAAGGCUUCCAAAUAGCAUUGCAUUUUUACUGACCAAAUCUGGUAGUUUUCACCUAUGAAAAUCUCAGGAGGAUUGAUGGAAAGGCUACUGGAGGCCAUGGUUUUAGGUGGCUGGUGUUUUUGUGUUUUGGUUUUUUAGGAUUGGUUUGGUUAAAAAAAGGUUUAAAUGUUGUUAAAAGCAGGCCCGUAAGACCAUAAGAAGCUCUGAUACCACUGUUAUAAAAUGAAACUGCUGCAAAUUGAAAGUCACAGCAGAAAAUAAUAUUGACAAGGUUUUAAAUGAGUGGAAGACCAUAUAUUACUUUUCACUGUAAUUGGGGUUUUAUACAAGAUGAAAUAACAAAUUCUUCUAAAAUCAAGGAAUCAAAUAACAAAAAAAUAAAGUUGAGAUUCUAAUGCAGGAAAUCUGGAAUUCCAGCUAUGUUAUUGAAAAAAUAAUAAACAUAUCUAAUUUGAAAUUCAAAUUAGUUGUUGUAGUCAAAAUGCCAGUACUUCAACAUUAACAAUAUCUUCUCUAGAUAAGAUAUCACUCUUAUUGAGAGAAUUCCUUUAGGCAGUCAAAACUCUGAAGAUAUCAGCUAUUGGUUCAUAGAAAAAGAAAGGUUCUACUUUUUCAAAAGCACCUAUAAAUUAUCAUAAGAAACCAUCAUCAAAGAGCAACCGAAUCCUUUUUGGAAUCCAAUUUGGAACCUCCGAAUACUUCCAAAAGAGUAAAACUUUAUUCGGAGAGUUUACGCUAAUUGUUUGCCAACUAAAGCAAACUUGAUUACCACGAAUAUCCAAGUUUAUGCCUCUUGUGAUUUUUGUGACGCUAUCUCAAAAGAUUUGGAAUAAAUUUUUAUCUCAUGUCCUCUAGCAAAAGGCUGUUGGCAAUAUAUAUCCCAUCUUUGCCUAUUUGCCACAAACGAGAACUUCAAGUCCUGGAUUAAGAAUGUUUUCAACAAAGUUGAUGAAUGCAAUCACAGCCUCAUAUUUAUGAUUUUGUGGUCAAUUUGAAAAGGCAAAAAUGCUCUAGUUUGGAAAGGAUCCCGACCAUCGUCUUCUCAUAUCCUUUUUUCGGCGUCCACUUUGCUUCAUAGCUGGACCUUGCAAAAGCAUCCAGCAAUCCAAUUUCUUCAACACAAUUUUCAUUUUGGUUUAAGCCUCCAGGAGGUUUCUUCAAAUGUAAUAAAAAUGCAAAUUCAAAACUAGACUGAAAUUGGCUUGGAGCGGAAUGGAUACUAAAAGAUAAUUAAGGAUGCUUCAUAAGGGGAUGCAAGAUCCUUCUGAUUAGAGAAUCGCGGAGGUAAUCUGUUUCAUGGAAGCUCUAAGCUAAGCAAAUCAUAAAGGUCUACAUAAUACCAUUUUUGAAUCUAACUCUCAAGUUUUAAUUUGAGUUAUCACCGAUAAUUUAUUAUAUUUAUCUUAAUUUGGUUCUAUUAUAAAUGAUUGUAUUUUUUUUCUGUCUGAACUUUCAAAUUGUUCAGUUGUUUUUCCCCGUGUAUCAACAAACAUUGUCGCCCAUAAUUUAGCUACGACAGCUUAUUCCCAUGUUCAGGAGUAGGGUCUUUCCUUCCUGUUUUCCUACUUACUGUUUUACGUUGAGAAUUAUAGUAUUUUCUCUAAAAAAAAUACCAAUACAUUUGUUUUGCUAAAAAUUGGAAAAGAAAGAGAUCUGCACUGGUUUUUGGGGAAGGUGAUCGUGAUGACCGCUUAGGAAUUAGAGUUCAGAGUUGAAUGAUUUCAUUUCAAAUGCGUGUUUCUCAAUGAUCGAAGCAUUUCCAUUGUAAUUAUUUUAACUGAGGGAUUUGUCAGUCAACAUUCAUACGCACUUCAAUCGAACGACUUUAAAGAAAAAAAAUCAAAUAGUUUAUUAUUCCUUUGGAUUAUGACAGCCCACCAGAAUCCAUAAUAUUAUUAUUUUUUUAUCUGCAAACAAAUACGUACCCACGAAAGUCAUAUAUUCAGCGUUGAAGUAUUCUACUACAAGAAAAUAAAAUAAAAUAAAAGCUGGGAAUUGACUCAAGUCUUCUUUCUACUGAAGCUUCAUAUAUGUGCCUAUAAAUAUUUCUUCUGGAUUCAGUUACUAAUCACACACUGCAAUCCAAACUCAGAGCUUACAGAGAAAACAAGAGAAAAGUUUCACUCUUUCUUCCUCAUGGCUCUAUUGGGUAGCAGUUUCUUGCCAAAGCAGACCAUGCUCCACAUGCCUAACAAAGUCCUUAAGCCAUUCGAAAGAAAAUCUUCUGUGAACAUGUGGGUGACCAUCUUCCGCUGAUGCCUCCUUGUCUUCUACUUCCUGUUCUUUCUAUUAAUUUGCUUUCCUAUUUUUCUUUAAUAUCACCAUAUAAAUACAAGAUCUUUAUACAAUUUUGCUUGUUAUUAACUAGUUUUUCUUUUAUCUUUUUUAUUAUCAGAACAUAUUGUGAUAGAUCAAAGGAAAAGCCUCCCUCAGGAAGUGGCUCACAACACAACAAAAUUCUCAGAAUUCAUCAGAGCCAGAGGAGAGUUGAAUUUACACAGGAGUUAUUGUGCUCUGAUAAUAGAUCGAAUGCUUUUGAAGAUGAUAAGAAAACUCAAGGACUCGAUGCUUCCAUUUCUUUGAUGAUCCACUGACAAUCAUCUUCUAAUUCCCAAGUUUUUGUUGCCCUUUGCUUCAUCCGUAAAAGAAAGAAAAAAAAAAUGUAAUUCUUCUUCUCAUGCAUUCACCAAACUUCCCAUUUUUGUCUCUGGUGAGAAAUCAUUUUUGCAGUUAAGGCUGUAGAAAAUGCAAUAAACUUAUUAUUUGAAGUCUUCUUGUAGUCCAACUCAUGGUUCUCCUUUCCUGGACAGCAAAACGGAUCGGUCAAGGUGGAUUCGGAUGAUCCAUUUUUUUGUUUAUUUAAAUUUGUUAGUUAUAUUUUAAUUAUUUUGAGUUUUCCCUUUUAAAUAGUGUUUGAAAUUAAUUAUAAUAAUUAAAAAUAUUCUAAAAAUAAUAAUUCACAUUAAAAAUAAAUAAAACUUUUAUGUAAAUGUUGGAUCCAGAAGAGACCAAUAAUAAUUCUUUUAUAUAAAUUAUUUGAUUGACUUUAGAUUGGCUGCUAGUUUGAAAAAAGGGAUUUGAAUUCAGUAGUAAACAGCCAGAGAAAAUGUUCUCAAUAUAAAUUCGAUUAAUAUAAUAAAUAUGUGAAUUUGGUCUGAAUUUAAUUAAAAUUUACUUUAAAUUAUUAAGACUCAUCCUAAAUUUCAUUAUACCAACAAAAAUAAUAUUCUCUUUAAGAAAAUGCUCUUUCAACGUAGCUGUAGCCACUAAUAAGAGUAAUGAUAAUAUAUACAAUAUAUUUUCUUGUAAUUACCGUAUUUUCAACAAAAAUUCUAAUUUUUUCACAUAAAACAACUUCUUGUUCAUUUGCAUAUUAAAAAGAAAGUUCUCAAGUUGAGUUUCAAGUUCAAUUAAAACAAUUAAAGAAAAUUCACAUGUAUUCAUAUCAAAUACAGAGAAUGAGUUUUUAGAAUUAAGACAUACCAUACAUAAAAAUAAAUUGUAUUCACUUUAUUAAAACGAUUAUUAAGUUUUUGGAACUACAUAUCAAUAAUAGAGUAAAAUAGUUUAACAUAAAAUGAAAAUUUAUUAUCUUUUCGGUUUUUCUUCUUGAUCUCCUUCUCAUUAUGUAUAAUCGUCCAUAUCUGAUACAACUAUAUCAUAUUUACCACAAAAUUACACUAUUUUAAGUAGUAAAGAUUUCCGACCAUCCUUUCCUAUAAUUUGUAAGCGGCGUUUAGAACUUUCCUAUAAUUUGUAAGCGGCGUUUAAAAAUUUUAACUAACUGCAUAACAUUUACAAUUAUGUAUAAUCGUCCAUAUCUGAUACAACUAUAUCAUAUUUACCACAAAAUUACACUAUUUUAAGUAGUAAAAAUUUCCGAUCAUUCUCUCCUAUAAUUUAUAAGCAGAGUUUAGAACUUUUCUAUAAUUUAUAAGCGGCGUUUAAAAAUUUUAACUAACUGCUUAACAUUUACAAUAUCUUUGCAAAACUUGUGAUAAGACUAUUACCAUACUAAUUCAUCCAUAAAGCCGUAUCUGACCAAAGUUUAAACGGUUACCCAUUAAAAAAUAUUUAAAAUUUAUUUAAUUUUUUUAAUUUUAGUUAGAUAUAAAUUAUUACCCGUAAAAAAUAUAUUUAAUAUUUACAUAAUUUUUCUAAUCUUUAAGUAGAUAUAAACUAUUAUUCAUAAAAAUUAUAUUUAAUAUUUACAUCAUUUUUUAAAUUUUUAUUACACAAAAUUAUUAUUCAUAAAAAUAAUAUUUAAUAUUUACAAAAUUUUUAAUUUUGAGUAGAUUAAAUUAUUACCCAUAAAAAUAUUAUUUAAAAUUUAUACUAUUUUACUAAUUUUGAUUAGAUUCAAUUAUUAUCCAUAAAAAUAAUUUUUAAAAUUUAUACAAUUUUUUUAAUUUUAAGUAAACUAAAUUACUACCUAUAAUAAUAAUAGUAUUAAUAAUUAAGUGAAAUAAACAAUAAUAAAUUAACAAUAUAAUAAAAUAAAUAAAAAUAUAAAUUAAUUCUUAACAAUAUAAAAAAAAUAAGAGAGAAAGAUGGAUAAUGAAUAGUGGAUUUUAAAAAAAAUAAAACUUAUGAAAUAAAAUGAAAUUUGUUGAAUAAAAAUUGAAAGGCGAAAGAAAAUGAGAUGGUGGAGGCUGUUGUAAAAGUGAGAAAUAUAAAAAAAAAUUUAAAAAUUUCAGAAAACUCAUGGCUACCUUUGACUUCAUGUUGGACCCGUUGCUCGUUCUGAUUUAAAAACUAAAAAUAAUUAAAAUAGUAAAUAUAAAAUCAGUUCAAUAUACAUGGUUCAAUUUUUAAAAUAAAGAUUUUUUUCGAUCUGAAUAUAAUUCAAUUUAAGAUCUUAAAAACUGUAUACAAUCCUAAAACUCAUUGUGAAUGAUGGUUAGGCAUUGAAAAUAGACAAUGUAAACUUGAGUCAUAUAUUCAGAUCAGUUGAAAUAUUCAGCUACACGAAACAAUAAAAAAGGAAAGGCAGAUGGGAAUUGACUUGAGUCUUCUAGAGAAGCUAAUUCAUCAGCCUGUAAAAAAAUUAAAAUUACUUAGAAAAAAAAAUUAAGAGUAAAAAAAUCGAUAUUUUAUAUAUAAUAAAAAUUGAGUAUUCAGAUUUUUUAAAUUUAAGAAUCGGACCAAUUUUAUGUUCAAUAAAAGUAUUUAAAUUUUUAAUUUUGGUAAUUAAAUCAAAUUUAAAAGAAUUAUUGUUGAAACUCAUUAAAUUUUAUUUUUUUAAUGGAGGAUCAAUCUUCAUACUAAAAUUUUUUUAAAAAAUUAAAAAUUUGAAGAGCCAUGACCACCCCAAUGUGUAUGUGGGACUGUGGGUUCCCCCUUACCAACCUUAAGCCGCGUGAAAGAGUGUCUUCUACGUUGACGUGUGUGACCAUCUUUCACUUGUGUGACCAUCUUUCACUAAUGCCUCCGUCUCCUCUUCUUUCCAUUAAUUUACUUUAGGGAAUUUAUUAUUUUAUUUUUUAAUAUAUAAAGAAAAUCUCAUUCCAUUUCAAAAAAAAAAAAGUCAUUAGUUAUUUUUUUAUUAUAAAAAAAACAUUCAUCAGAUUUUAAAAGAAUUAAUUAAUUAAUUAUUAUAUUAAUUUUAACUAUUAUUUAAUUAUUUUAAUAUAUAAAAAUUUAUUAAUUAAUUUAUCAAUUUUAUAAAAAUAUUUACGAGUUAAUAUCUUUAUAUUAAAGAUAUUUUAAAUUUUUUUAUAAUAUUUAAUAAAAUUAAUAGAUAUACUAAUUAAUAAAUCUUUAACAUUUCAUAAAAAUUUUAAUUUAUUUUUAAAAUUAAAAAUUAAAAAUUAAUGGAUAUACUAACUAAUUAUUUUAAAAAAAAAUUAAAAAAUUAAAAAAAAAUUUAUAUUAAAAAUCCAAAUGAUAAUUUUUCUUUUUCUUUAAUAUGAUAAUAUCUUUUUAUUUUCCACUGCAUAUGCUAACUACUUUUAUUAUCAGAACAUAUUGUGAUAAAGAAAAGGGAAAACCUAACUCAUGAAGUGGAUCGCAACACAAAAAAAAAACCUCAGAAUCCAGAGUAGAAUUGACAUUUAACAGUUGUUAAUAUUUU